GAUGAACGCUGGCGGCGUGCCUAAUACAUGCAAGUCGAGCGAACGGACGAGAAGCUUGCUUCUCUGAUGUUAGCGGCGGACGGGUGAGGAACACGUGGAUAACCUACCUAUAAGACUGGGAUAACUUCGGGAAACCGGAUCUACUACCGGAUGAUAUUUUGAACCUCAUGGUUCAAAAGUUAAAUACGCUCUUGCUGUCACUUAUAGAUGGAUCCGCGCUGCAUUCGCUAGUUGGUAAGGUAACGGCUUAGCAAGGCAACGAUGGAGAAACGACCUGAGGGCGUGGUCGGACACCCUGGCACUGAGAAACGGCACAGACUCCUAGGGGAGGACGCGGCACGGAAUCUUCCGCGAGGGAGGAAUGCCUAACGGAGGACCGCCGCGUGAGGGAUGAACGUCUUCGGACCGUAGAACUCUGUUAUUAGGGAAGAACAAAUGUGUAAUUACCUGUGAACAUCUUGACGGUACCGAAAGAGAAAGCCACGGCUAACUCCGUG
Molecule: ribosomal RNA, 497 nt
Filed under: uncultured bacterium
Lineage: Bacteria
Description: partial 16S ribosomal RNA
Rfam family: Bacterial small subunit ribosomal RNA
Source: RNAcentral